This 328-nucleotide ribosomal RNA is filed under the name uncultured eukaryote. Its description in RNAcentral is "partial 18S ribosomal RNA". It matches the Rfam family "Eukaryotic small subunit ribosomal RNA", at positions 1470 to 1796 of the family's 1831-position model. The record is from RNAcentral.
CCCUUAGAUGUCCGGGGCUGCACGCGCGCUACACUGAAGGAAUCAGCGUGCUAAAACCAUUGUCGAAAGGCAUUGGUAAACCCAUUAAAAUCCUACGUGAUUGGGAUCGGGAAUUGCAAUUAUUUCCCUUGAACGAGGAAUUCCCAGUAAGUGUGGGUCAUAAGCUCGCGUUGAUUACGUCCCUGCCCUUUGUACACACCGCCCGUCGCUGCUCGGGACUGAGCCGUUUCGAGAAAAGCGGGGACUGCUGCUGUCGGGGCUUUCGGGCCUUGGCUUCGGUGGAAACCGCUUUAAUCGCAGUGGCUUGAACCGGGCAAAAGUCGUAACA